AGCCAGACUCCUACGGGAGGCAGCAGUGGGGAAUAUUGCACAAUGGGGGAAACCCUGAUGCAGCGACGCCGCGUGAGUGAAGAAGUAAUUCGUUACGUAAAGCUCUAUCAGCAGGGAAGAAAUACUGACCUUACGGUCAGCAGACGGUACCUGAGUAAGAAGCCCCGGCUAACUACGUGCCAGCAGCCGCGGUAAUACGUAGGGGGCGAGCGUUAUCCGGAUUUAUUGGGUUUAAAGGGUGCGUAGGCGGUUUUUUAAGUUAGUGGUUAAACGUCGGGGCUUCACCUUGAUUUGCCAUUAAUACUGUAAGACUCGAGUUCAGACGAGGUAGGCGGAAUAAGUUAAGUAGCGGUGAAAUGCUUAGAUAUAACUUAGAACUCCGAUAGCGAAGGCAGCUUACCAGACUGCGACUGACGCUGAGGCACGAAAGCGUGGGGAUCGAACAGGAUUAGAUACCCGGGUAU
Molecule: ribosomal RNA, 464 nt
Filed under: uncultured bacterium
Lineage: Bacteria
Description: bacterial SSU rRNA
Rfam family: Bacterial small subunit ribosomal RNA
Source: RNAcentral